CCGGUUGUUCCAUCAACCGUUCCCUACCCGGACAUGCUGAGCGGGCAACUGCUCGGUGUGAAGCUCCGGGGACAACGUACCCGCCGGAUUAGCCGGUACUCGGUCCCGCGAGGGGCGUGGAAACUGCCAGCACAGAGGCGGUGAGGGGC
Opitutaceae bacterium BACL24 MAG-120322-bin51 is the source of this 149-nucleotide non-coding RNA. The record is from Rfam. Lineage: Bacteria; Pseudomonadati; Verrucomicrobiota; Opitutia; Opitutales; Opitutaceae.